AACAUAGCUCACAGGGGCAGCAUCAUAGCCAAUGAGGUUAAUCUGAAGCAUGAUUAUUGCUAGUUGAAAACUUUCCUCUGAAAAUAGGCAUUUGGAGUGAGUUUUAUUUCCUUCCUCAGUUUAACUGUUUACUUAACC
Molecule: small nuclear RNA, 138 nt
Organism: Chrysemys picta bellii (western painted turtle)
Lineage: Eukaryota; Metazoa; Chordata; Testudines; Emydidae
Gene: U4
Rfam family: U4 spliceosomal RNA
About the family: U4 small nuclear RNA (U4 snRNA) is a component of the major U2-dependent spliceosome. The structure of U4 snRNA from yeast and human has been reported.
Source: Ensembl